RNAcentral lists this ribosomal RNA (644 nucleotides) under Chaetothyriales sp. A541. Its description in RNAcentral is "SSU rRNA". It matches the Rfam family "Bacterial small subunit ribosomal RNA", at positions 479 to 1208 of the family's 1533-position model. Lineage: Eukaryota; Fungi; Ascomycota; Eurotiomycetes; Chaetothyriales. The record is from RNAcentral.
UCUAUCUAUAAGUCUUGACCAAAUUACGUGCCAGCAGUCGCGGUAACACGUAGAAGACUAGUGUUAUUCAUCUUUAUUAGGUUUAAAGGGUACCUAGACGGAAAAUCAAGCCAUAAUAGGGACUAAUUUUCUAGAGUUUUAUGAGAGAAGGGGUGAAUUUCCGGAGGAAAGUUGAUAUUUAGUGAUACUGGAAGGACGGGUAACGGCGAAGGCAACCUUGUAUGUAAAAACUGACGUUGAGGGACGAAGCCUUGGGUAACGAGAAGGAUUAGAUACCCUAGUAGUCCUUGGAGACAAUUAUGAAUGUCAUAGGCUAGAUAAUUUAGCCUAUAAAUGAAAGUGUAAGCAUUCCACCUCAUGAGUAAAGCGGCAACGCCCAAAUUGAAAUCAUUAGACCGUUUCUGAAACCAGUAGUGAAGUAUGUUAUUUAAUUCGAUGAUCCGCGAAUAACCUUACCACAAUAUGCAUUGAAUAUUAUUCAAUUAUUACAAGCGCUGCACGGCUGUCUUCAGUUAAUGUCGUGAGAUUUUGGUUCGUUCCUUUAAUUAACGAAAACCCUUGCUUUAUUUGUUUUUAUAAAGUAGUUCACCGUGAUAUUGGAUGAGAUAAUAGGGACUAAGACAAGUCAUCAUGGCCUUAAUAGC